GACGAACGCUGGCGGCGUGCUUAACACAUGCAAGUCGAGCGGUAAGGCCCUUUCGGGGGUACGACGAGCGGCGAACGGGUGAGUAACACGUGGGUGACCUGCCCUUAGCUCUGGGAUAAGCCUGGGAAACUGGGUCGUAAUACCGGAUAUGACCUCAUGACGCAUGUUGUGGGGUGGAAAGCCUUGUGCGGCUAGGGAUGGACCCGCGGCCUAUCAGCUUGUUGGUGGGGGUAAUGGCCUACCAAGGCGACGACGGGGUAGCCGGCCUGAGAGGGCGACCGGCCACACUGGGACUGAGACACGGCCCACGACUCCCACGGGAGGCAGCAGUGGGGAAUUUGCGCAAUGGGCGAAAGCCUGACGCAGCGACGCCGCGUGAGGGAUGACGCCU
This 391-nucleotide ribosomal RNA is filed under the name uncultured bacterium. RNAcentral's name for it is "bacterial SSU rRNA". It matches the Rfam family "Bacterial small subunit ribosomal RNA", at positions 28 to 416 of the family's 1533-position model. The record is from RNAcentral.